UCUUAUUAAGAGCGGUGGAGUGAAUAGGCACUGUGAAACCCGGCAACCUUUUUUGGUGCUAAAUCCUACAGACGCGACAGGUCUGAAAGAUAAGA
RNAcentral lists this non-coding RNA (95 nucleotides) under uncultured Peptoniphilus sp. RNAcentral describes it as "SAM riboswitch (S box leader)". It matches the Rfam family "SAM riboswitch aptamer (S box leader)". From Rfam's summary of the family: The SAM riboswitch is found upstream of a number of genes which code for proteins involved in methionine or cysteine biosynthesis in Gram-positive bacteria. The SAM riboswitch acts at the level of transcription termination control. The record is from RNAcentral. Lineage: Bacteria; Bacillati; Bacillota; Tissierellia; Tissierellales; Peptoniphilaceae.